RNAcentral lists this ribosomal RNA (680 nucleotides) under Salmonella enterica. RNAcentral describes it as "partial 23S ribosomal RNA". It matches the Rfam family "Bacterial large subunit ribosomal RNA", at positions 2261 to 2925 of the family's 2925-position model. RNAcentral also lists the same sequence under 1 other name. Lineage: Bacteria; Pseudomonadati; Pseudomonadota; Gammaproteobacteria; Enterobacterales; Enterobacteriaceae. The record is from RNAcentral.
GUGGGUAGUUUGACUGGGGCGGUCUCCUCCUAAAGAGUAACGGAGGAGCACGAAGGUUGGCUAAUCCUGGUCGGACAUCAGGAGGUUAGUGCAAUGGCAUAAGCCAGCUUGACUGCGAGCGUGACGGCGCGAGCAGGUGCGAAAGCAGGUCAUAGUGAUCCGGUGGUUCUGAAUGGAAGGGCCAUCGCUCAACGGAUAAAAGGUACUCCGGGGAUAACAGGCUGAUACCGCCCAAGAGUUCAUAUCGACGGCGGUGUUUGGCACCUCGAUGUCGGCUCAUCACAUCCUGGGGCUGAAGUAGGUCCCAAGGGUAUGGCUGUUCGCCAUUUAAAGUGGUACGCGAGCUGGGUUUAGAACGUCGUGAGACAGUUCGGUCCCUAUCUGCCGUGGGCGCUGGAGAACUGAGGGGGGCUGCUCCUAGUACGAGAGGACCGGAGUGGACGCAUCACUGGUGUUCGGGUUGUCAUGCCAAUGGCACUGCCCGGUAGCUAAAUGCGGAAGAGAUAAGUGCUGAAAGCAUCUAAGCACGAAACUUGCCCCGAGAUGAGUUCUCCCUGAGACUUAGAGUCUCCUGAAGGAACGUUGAAGACGACGACGUUGAUAGGCCGGGUGUGUAAGCGCAGCGAUGCGUUGAGCUAACCGGUACUAAUGAACCGUGAGGCUUAACCUUACAACGCCGA